Molecule: ribosomal RNA, 464 nt
Filed under: uncultured bacterium
Lineage: Bacteria
Description: bacterial SSU rRNA
Rfam family: Bacterial small subunit ribosomal RNA
Source: RNAcentral
GACGAACGCUGGCGGCGUGCCUAACACAUGCAAGUCGAACGGGGUAAAGAGCUUCGGUUCUUUACUUAGUGGCGAACGGGUGAGUAACGCGUGAGAAACCUGCCUUUCAGUGGGGGACAACAGUUGGAAACGACUGCUAAUACCGCAUAAUGUUAUCGAGCGGCAUCGCUUGGUAACCAAAGCUUUAUGUGCUGAAAGAUGGUCUCGCGUCUGAUUAGCUAGUUGGUGAGGUAACGGCUCACCAAGGCGACGAUCAGUAGCCGGUCUGAGAGGAUGAACGGCCACAUUGGAACUGAGAUACGGUCCAGACUCCUACGGGAGGCAGCAGUGGGGAAUAUUGGGCAAUGGGCGAAAGCCUGACCCAGCAACGCCGCGUGAGGGAAGAAGGGUUUCGGCUCGUAAACCUCUGUCCUAUGGGACGAAGAAGUGACGGUACCAUAGGAGGAAGCCCGGCUAACUACGUG